AGCCGCUGGGCUGCAGCUCCCCAGCCCAACUGCCAGCGUGCUCCGAGGUACUGGAAAGGUCUUGGCAGGGUGGCUGGACCCUUGGCAGACUCAAAUCCAGGCCAACUGUAUGGCUGUCUGAGGUGUUGGAACAGAAGGAGGUCCAUUCCUGUUGGUGACAGCACUGUGGCCCUGUUCUAGGAUGAGCCAGGUAUAAAAGGAGCUGUGAAAUCAGCUGCAACUGAAAAUGUCUGACAGCUUGGAUAACGAAGAAA
RNAcentral lists this long non-coding RNA (254 nucleotides) under Rattus norvegicus (Norway rat). RNAcentral describes it as "long non-coding RNA NONRATT030688". Lineage: Eukaryota; Metazoa; Chordata; Mammalia; Rodentia; Muridae. The record is from RNAcentral.